UGGAGAGAUGUCCGAGUGGUCGAAGGUACACGAUUGGAAGUCGUGUGUGCCCGAAAGGGUACCGAGGGUUCGAAUCCCUCUCUCUCCGUACC
This 92-nucleotide transfer RNA is filed under the name Treponema vincentii ATCC 35580. Its description in RNAcentral is "tRNA-Ser". It matches the Rfam family "tRNA". Rfam says of the family: Transfer RNA (tRNA) molecules are approximately 80 nucleotides in length. Their secondary structure includes four short double-helical elements and three loops (D, anti-codon, and T loops). The record is from RNAcentral. Lineage: Bacteria; Pseudomonadati; Spirochaetota; Spirochaetia; Treponematales; Treponemataceae.